RNAcentral lists this non-coding RNA (543 nucleotides) under Pongo abelii (Sumatran orangutan). The record is from RNAcentral. Lineage: Eukaryota; Metazoa; Chordata; Mammalia; Primates; Hominidae.
GACACAAAACCCGGAAGGACCCAGCCGAAGGUUUUCUCCGGUUCGGGCAAGAGACGGGGUCCCGCUCUGUCACCCAGGCUGCCAGACUGGCGUACAGUGGUGCAAUCUCAGCUCACUGCAACCUGCACCUCCUGGGUUCAAGUGAUUUUCUUGUCUCUGCCUCCUGAGUAGCUGGGAUUACUGGCACACACCACCAUGCACUGGGAAUUUUCUGGUGGGCAAAUUGUGAGGGAGUUGCGGGAAUUUAGCCAAUUCAGAGGUCUUGUUCUCCAUAAUCUGGAACUUUCCUUCAGAUUUGAUCAAGUUGGAUAAAGUUGGUCAAACCCAAUGGGAAAAAGAUGAAAACAACAAGAAACAGAAACAAACAACAACAACAACAACAAAACAGUUAAGUGAAACAAACAAACAAUCACACAAUUUAUGUGGUCACUGAGUGCUCUAAUAGUAAGGAGAAAUUAAGACCAGCUGGCUGUUAAUCUUAACUCUAGCCAAGACAAAACUCCAAUUCAGCUACUUACCUAGUAAUGAGUCUCAGGCUGAAGU